GGUUUUUUGCAAUCCACACGGCACAGAUUUUUUUGAUUAUGUAGAUUUUUUUUUUUUUCCUCCUCUAUUGCAGUUUCAUAUGCAAAGCAUGCAUCAGCCACAUCCAUGCUAUCUCCUAAAGCAGUCAUUCUGAAACCCAAUCUGGGGACAGUGCAGACUAAAUAAAAUUUCAUUUUGAUUUGGCCUCCCGCUGAGAAUGGGACUGCUUUGUUUCAGCCGACAGAAGCAGCAAGCCAGAAAGGUGUUGAAUACACAAAUACUGACUUAACAGAAAAUUAUAAGUAGAGGCAGAAUCAAAGCUUCGCCCAGCAACUACAGAGAAAUCUAAUAUUUCCUGAGUGGGGAGAGAAGAAAGCUUGGAAACUGUAGGAAAACAUGGACCAGAAAAUCAUGUUAUUUCUAACCUAUACACACCACUGGGAUUUCCACCACUGGGAUGACCUUCUCAGAAAAAGCUACACCCAGAUUUUGUUUCAAAAAUACAGGAGCUGCUUCUGACAUAAUUGAUCAAAACUGCUUUUCUUCAGGAAACAGUGCAAAAUGUCUUCUUUUCAAGGCAAAUGAAUUUGGGGACUGGUAAGAGAGAGAAAGGGUGGUUGUGGUAGAGGAAAUAUUUUUAUCCAGGCCUCAGGAAACGGUGGUCUGGCUGCAGUGUUGCAGAUGGUUACAUGAACAGAAUUCUCUCAGCGCAAAGCCUGCCAUGACUUACGUCUGCCCCCAAGCUCCUGGACUGCAAGAACUAAUGCCAAUAUCCACCUGGAAACAUCCAGUCAGGAAGGGCUGGGGAAGCUGCUAGCCUGAAACAACCCUUCAAGCUCAAGUAA
Molecule: long non-coding RNA, 824 nt
Filed under: Lonchura striata (white-rumped munia)
Lineage: Eukaryota; Metazoa; Chordata; Aves; Passeriformes; Estrildidae
Description: domestica (Bengalese finch) lncRNA (ENSLSDG00000015461.1)
Source: RNAcentral